AUUACUGAUGCCUUUAAGCACAAUGGAAAUUUUAUCACCAUGUCUCCCAUUCUAGUGAGACCAGUAUAACAAACACUUUUGAAAAUAGUUCUUUAAAGUGCUCAGUCAAGCAGCAGUGCAGUAGUCCCUAGGCUUCAAAUCCUUCGGUUAACUCUAAGUGUUGUUACAUCCCUACUCGUGUAAUUAUAUAAAAAUAGAGGAUCAUAUAAUGAUGGAGGGUUUAUAAGUUCUUAUGAGUAAGAAUGAGCAUUACUUUUGAAUCGGAGUUCACAUUUAUUUCACAUUUACCUGUGGAAUAUCUCUAGACUUUUGAAGUCUCUAGACUUCAAGAAAAUGCAUCAUAUUUCACUGAGGGAAUCUUGAAGUCAGAGGUUAUGUGAAAAUAAAAAUGAGGGGGGAUAAAAUGGCAGCUAGCAUGUUGGACAUCGAUCCCACCUCUCUCACCCAGAGCAAAUCAUCAUGACCAGCAUCACCAGUCAGGAGAAGUGGAUGGGAGCCAAACUUGGAAUCCUGGAUGCUGACCAGACAGAAUGAUGAAGAAGUGUACUUGAACUGCUCCAGGGCUCAGGUAGUAUCUACAGCAGGUAACAUAUCACUUGGUACAUCACUGAAAGAGCUGAGUUCUGGGCAGGCAGAAAGCUUGCAUGGUAGUGAUGAGUUGAUGGUUGGACUAGAUGAUCCUACUGUUCUUUCCAGCCUUGAUGAUUCUGUGAUCCUAAAGCAGAGUGGUGGAGUCUGACCCUGCUCUGGGGCCUGGAGCCGGGGUGGCAGCAGUUUGCUGAGCCCGUGGCUGGGGAGAUCCUCUGCAACUCUCAGCACCUUCUACUUGCUCUUGCCACCAUCUUGGCCAACUGAUGCUCUUCUUAUCUCAAGAUUGAUCCUGCUGCAAUUGUGUGGGGCUUGUAGAAGUGUGACUAGAGAAAACAGAAUUUCAUCUUCCCUAGGGACCUAAGCCUGGCCAUUGCUGAAAGGCUGCAACAUUUAACACAUCCUCCCAAAUACCAAGUUCUAACUUAGUGAUUUUUGUCACUUAUGCCUUGCCACGUUAUAGAGUCACUAGGAUAAACAGAUAAAGGAAUUAGUAAGGUAAAAGUGCAAGCAGGAGAAACUUUCUUAGCCUGCUGUUCGUUAAAUGCUUGAUAAUGUUGCUUUGUUUCUCCUCUUUUUUUUUUUUCAACAACCUCAUCAUUGUGCUUUGGCAGCAAGGGAGGUUCUCCAACACUAUAAAGCUUUUUGCUUUCUCAGGACACCGCCAUUUAACUCUAAGUUGUUCAGCCACAGGUUUUCGAUCUGGAAGAUGUUUGUACUCAGCUUUGCCACAUGCCACAAGUCUGUAGCAGGCUAUGCAUUCCUGGGGCAGCCAGAGGGGUGCUCAUUAUUGUCUGAGAAGCCAAUGCUGCUGCUUUUGAAAUUUUAUCUGUGUUCUCUGAGAAGGGAUUUUUUUAUAUACUCAGAAGGAUAAAAGCCUUUCAGCAAAGGCCUUCCUAAAAAUGAAUGCCGUAUUUCUCCUGCUGGGACUUUGUGAUGAAGAAGGAAUCAGAUCCUUCGUUUGGUUUCUCCUCUCAGUCAAAAAAUCAAUGGAGGUAGUAUGAAAUCAAGAUCUGGAAAAUGUGUGAAGCAAAAGUGAUGUGCUUAUGUUGGGUUUUCUUUAAAAUACUUAAAGGCAAAAGGGAUUUUGUGGCCUUAAACCGUAAUGGUUCCAAGUAGGGAACUUGGAGGGACCCAGUAGUCUUGAAACACUGACCAGCAAUACUUGAAGAGUUGGGAUUUCUGGGUGCACAACAACUUUCCCAGAAAGUGCUGCUAAUAAAGAUAAAUCUUGGCUCCAGUAUUUAUGCCCUGUCCCUUAUGAAUCCUCUAACUAGUUUCGUACUCCAUUUUCAGAAUUAAAGACAAACAGUGGGAAUGGUUUGGAAAAUUGCAGGGGUGUUGGGGCUGGGAAAGGCUGUGCUCUACAAGUUGAGUUAGAGGGGUUAAGCAAGCUGUUGAAGAGGGAAGAGAAGUGGGAGAAUAUUCAAAGAGUUUGGAUUUACUUUGAUGUUUCCUUUUAUCAAGCUUGCUUUCAGUCAGCUCAUGCAGCAAUAGUAAUUUCUCAGUGCAGUGUCAAGUACAUAAAGAAAUGUGACAGUCUUCCCUGCUCACCUAGGCUGCCUACUAGAAAUUAUCAUUCAUUAUAAUCAUCAUUGUAGCCAACCAAGUCCAAGUCUGUUCCCACUCCAGUGACAUAGAAAUGGCAAAAAUCCCAGUCACAUCAAAAAUGUAGGCUCAGGCUUGAAGAUCUAUUAGAGAAAUCCAGAGAUGAUUGGUGACAAUAGUUUCAGUAUUGUAUCUAAGAUGUAUGGUCUGUUUUUUAAUGUAGUGUCUUAAAUGAGGAGCUAAAAGAUAGUAGAGAAAAAUAGUUUAAUGUGAUUUUAGGGUUUUGAUCUAACGUGUUACCAGAUGUAGCCACUCAAUCUGUAAAACAGCUUUACUUGGACAGCAUCCUGCUCCAGUGGAUAAACUUAAGUAAUUACCCUGCCAUCACAAUUGAAAAAAAAACCUAAAAAAAAAAUCUAAUCUAGACUCCUCAUUGGCUCAAGCAGAUGAGAAACAGAUAAGAUGGAGUUUCAGCGCCUGUGACAUGUUGUUAUCACUUGGCAACUUCCAAAUGUAAAGUAUUUUAAAAUCAAAUCUAUAAGUCUGUGCACUACUUUGAGGGAAUGUGUCAACAAAAUGCUGUCAGCUCCUUGCCUCCUGACAAGCUGUACAGAUUUCAUACUGCUCUGAACUGUAUCUUGCCCAUCAAAGCAGCAGAUGUCCUUUUUGGCAAUGCUGGUAGUGCAGCUAGGCUGUUUGGUGGCUUUUCUAUAAAAUCAGGAAGAGAAUCUGAUUUUAACAGAGGCCUGAGGUACGGUCUUGAUGUACUAGAGAGGAACAAGAAAAGUUUCUUUCUGAUGAAACAUAGAAUCAUUAAGGUUUGGAAAAGACCAUUCAGUCCAACUGUCAAUGGAAUCUGGCAGUGAGAGGAAAGGAAGCCCUACAGACUUUCAUUCUUUGCUUGUUUGGUUCCAAAUAGGACUAGGAUGUCCUCAACGACAAAAACGGACAACUGGAAGCUGUCGCUCUUGGCCGUAGAGAGGGACUCCAUUGAAAUAGCACCUAUUUUCCAUUCUGAGACAUUCUUCUGCUUUCAAGGUACUUCUGGCUGCUGUUAUCUCCACAUCUUGUGAAUUGCCUUGGCUGGGGAAGUCCAGCUGUUUCUAGUUUGCACAGGAAGGGAGCAUAAUACACAGAUUCAGCAGGCUUAAUAUUUUACCUCCCGGCGUAAUUGUUAGACUGAAGCAUCUUGUCAUGAGUUGAAAGAUGGUAGAGUACCUUUCUCUGUUAACUGUAUAGAUUUACUUGUGCACAAAUGUCUUCUGUACAUUCACGUACUGCAUUUAUCCAGUGCCUUCUUGGGCCCGUAAGCUGCUUUUAUUCCCCGAGGGCAGCACGCAUGUGCUUCUCAAAUAACACAAAACUGAAGGCUAUUGUAUAGAGGCUCGUGGAAAGGAAAGCUGAUCUUUAACCUAUGCAUUCCCAAGUUAUGUAGCAAAAUAUAGACUGAAACUCUUGAACGGUUACACUUUUAAGCUUAUUUACUUAACAUUCAUGCACUUUGACUCUAUCUUUUGUUUGUAAAUUAAAUCUGAUUUCCCCGUGUUCUACAAUAGCUCUCAGUUUUAUUUUUCCUGGCAGAAAAUCUUUUUCCGUCUGUCCUUCAGUUAGUCAAAGGUAGGAGUCUCUCCCUGAGAGAGAGAUUAGUUUGUCUCAUUGGAAUUUUGUACUGCAGGAUGACAGUCUUCCCUGGCACACAGUAAGCUCACCACAAUCCGCAGUAUACAUGAAAUCAUAAUCAAAGACAGAUGCCUUUCCCUGUUAUAAAUAAUCAUUGCUGCUUGCAUAGACCAGAAAAGAUCCUUGUUUAGACUGCUCUUUCUUUCUUGGAGCUCUGUAUUUCCCUUGGCCUUCCCUUUUUUUCAUCUUUUCUGUCUCUAAUUCUAGAUAUUUGCCUAAGGAAAUAAAAGGAAUGGGGAAAGUAGAUCUUGGCACUCUCUUAAUUCUCAGAGGAUUACCCUAUGGAGUGAAAUUAAAUACACAUGACAUAUAAAAGGGAAUGGCCUCCUAAUUUAUAGCAAAAAUCCCAGUUCACAAUAAAUCCGUUCUUUCCUGUUUGUUCGUGUGUAUGAUGAGAACAUGUCAUAUGCUUCUGAGAUGCUGUUAUAAAAGCUUUGUUCUGUUGUAGGAUUAACUUUUCUGAAUAGGUGAAUGGUUUUAUGUAAAUAUCAAAUAGCAAUCGUGGAUGUUUUUAAAUUGGUUAUCAAAUUUACUUGCAUUUCAGCAAAGCCCAGUUCAGUGUCGUCUAUUUUAGCAGCUUCUUAUAAAUUACAAAUUGUCCUCAGGUAGUUGUGAGAUAUCUGAGAUGUCGGGACUCCAGCAGGAAAGCUUCUUGGAUGAUAUUUUCACAUGACUUGUAGAAAAAUUCUGCCUGAAGUAGAUGCUACUAAGAACUUCUAACCUUGGUGAGUGCGCCAGACACUUUAUUGAGCUUUUCAGCUGCAACCAGGAUGCAUCUUCUUUAGAUUGUCAGCACUAAACAAUGUGUAAUUGGCUGCAGUGUUUUGCAUUCUAGGCUUCCAAAUUCUUGUGUUCUUUUCUUUCAAAUAUGUACAAUAUCUCAAGGCAGGGACUGUGAAGAGAGCAUUUCUUGAUUGACUGGUUACUGCUACACUACCACCAUUAAGCUCUAAUCCUUUAAAUAUCUAAGCACUGUGGGGUCAAGUUCUUGCCGUGCUCUGUGCUCUUACAGGAGUUUGGCAGGGGUCUGUUGUUAAGAAACGAGAUCAUUUUGCUCUGCAAGGAGACUGAGUCAGUGUGCUGGAGGUAUCGGUUUUACUCUAUUAGAUUAUAUUGCUGCAGAUAUAUGCUUGCAAAGUGAACUGCAGACUGUUCCUAGUAAGACUGAAACCAGUGGCACAGCAAAUCGUGAUUGUUUUUGCACCAUUCAUCAGCAAAACCUUCUAAUGAGGAAAGUAAUUUAAAAAAUAUCUGGCUAAGAUGGGCCAUUAUGGUGGAACAGCAGGAUUUUGUUUUUAAAUCCUUUUAGAUUGCCAUAUAAAAUCACCACUGUUAAUGAUCUGAUAAAAUGGUCCCCUCCACAAGAACCAGCACUUUCUCCUCAGUAGUUGGUUUUUCUUGUGAUUAUGUGAGGGUUAGGAAAUAGUUUCUUCCUUUAAAGCAUGUGGACCAGUUUCACUACUGACCAUUAAAACUCUUGGUUUUCUUUGCCUGGGAGGAAAGAAAUUGCUGUGAUGUCUUCCCUAUUAGUAUUUAUAGUUUUCUCCUUUACCUCAUGUCUUCCUCCUUCUACACAAGACCGUAAAUACACAUUCCGGGACAAAGGACAGUCUGAUCAGUUUGCCCUUGAAACAUACACUCUCAUGUUGGUUGACAUUAGCUGCAUUAAUCGUCUUAUAGACUUCAGGAUUCCUACCAGAAGCCUCAUCUGAUUCAAGUAAUUAAUCCACACAUCUGAUAAACACCCAGUCCUGGCAUUAAGAUGACUUGUACCUGGUGUCACUAAAAAAAUGGUGGCAGAUGCGUUCAGGUCAGCUAAACUGGCUCUUGGUUUUUGGUGCAUGGCAGUCAGGGUUUGUCUGUCUUAACUGUACUGUUUUAUGGGAAUUGUUUGAGAAUAUAAUGAUACAAAACUGAGGAAAUUAAAUCCCUCAGCUCCAGUUUCGUCUUGGUAAGAUUCAUUUUUUCUUCCACAGUGAAAAGGAUCUGGCUGUGUUCAGCCACUUACAUUUUCUUCUUGUUGAAUUCGCAGAUGUCUGGCCUUGUAGGAAAGGCACAAAUCAACCUAUUUGCAGAGUGAUUCUGUUUCAUGGUAUGUUCAACUUUGACACCGUUCUCUGAUGAUAUGGGGCUAGCAGAGAAAAUCCUGUGCAAGUUACGUGCUCAAACAUCACCAAAAUUCUUGCUCUAUCUGAAAUGCAGCAGAGUCUUUUGAUAGCUUUGUGUUAGAAAGUGGCACGUUUCCUGAUAACUGAUACUCCCUGUUUUGGAUAAAGUCAUGGCAGAAACGUCACGCUGGAGAAUUGCCCAGUGGAUAUUUACACUCAUAAUCCAUUGGAGAAGUGAGGCUCAUAUCACUAGUGAUAUGUGCUGUGUGUUGACUUUCCAGUUCAACUGAGUGUGGCUUAACCUUAUGUCUAGAUCUAUAAAACCAAAUCAUUAAUUAUUCUCCAUUCUCCAGAAGAGAAUGUCUCUUCCACCAAAACUGGGCAAUAUAACAGCAUCAUUUGUGAUGCACUCUGUGCAUAAAUAAGACUGUUGCUGCUAAAACUAUCCAUCAGACUGACUUUUGUAAGUAAAGUAUAAGCAGUUGCUUUCUAGUUAGUAAUGGUGUGGUUGACCUAAUGCGCUACAUUUGCAAUCCUUUUGAAUGAUGUCACUUGAAAGUAAGUUUCUCUAAUUCCACCUUUCCUUCAGUCAAUAUAGGAUAAUUGUAAACAGAAACCCAAGCAGCGGUGAUUUCAUCCUGUUACACAACCAGGAGGCCUGGCCUAACAUCGCUCCUCAAGUAGCCAGCUUGUCUGUAUAGGAACUGUAAGUGAAGAAAAUCAUUCACCAUUUGUGCGUAGGAAUGCAAUAAGGACACUGUAAAUAAAAGCUCAUUGCAAAAAUAACCAGUUAUAAGGUAUCAGAACAUUCCAUUCUCAAACAUGAGCUGUUAGCGUUUAGUAAGUGCUGUAUACAUCAUAGCUAGGAUGUCUAGGACUGUGUAAACCUAUGUAAGGAUUUGUCUACAUCGCAAAGUCUGUUUGAAGAAAGAAGUUUUGGAGGCAAGCAAGAGUCAAUAGAUCAAAGUAAGAUGGGUGGUUGACAAUGCAGAGGGAGACCUACAGCUCUAUUUUCUGAGGUUGUGUGCAGGUAUGGAUGCAGGUGUGGCUAAGUGGGAAUGGCCAGGAGCAGGGACAGAGGCAGGCAGAGCAGGUUGGCGAGGAACAAAGAUGAAAGGCAGAAGCAAAAUGGCUGAAAGCUAGCUUUCUCGGGGAAUGUACUCUGUCUAGCACACUGAAUUUCAGGUCAUCUCUGUCUUACUUUCUGAAAGCCUUGAAAGGAGAGAUAGCUGCUUCAGGUAUUAACAUGGCCUUCCUUAGUUGUUCCUUCUCUUGGCAGUUUUCUGUGGAGCUGCCAGGAAAGCAAAACCCUCUCCUUUUAAUCUUUGAAAGCAUCAUCAGGAAGUUAAGGAGCAGGGAUUAGUUUUGUUAAUAAGUGCAUACAAGGGAACUCCUCUGGGAGCUUUCUAAUUUUCUGUUUUCUUUAAUAGAUGAUGCAUUUUUGUCUUCCUCCUGUGAUACAGUUGGGGUUUGCCUGGUCCUUUUUCUUGUUGUGGAAGAGUGGGGGGAAGAAAAAUAACCCAGUCAGUCUGUUCUUUCUGCUUCUGAAAGAUGUCUUUUCAAGACUUCAGCUGUAGCAAUUUUGUGCUUUCCAAGGGCAUUACUAAGACAUUUAGCACAUCCCCCAAGGAACUGUGGUCAGUGCUAUUGGAUUCCUCCAGGGAAUAGCAGCAGGGAUUGUAACUCUGUCAGAUUAAUGUGGGCUAAGGUCACCAUCCCUUGGGCUAGCUGGCUGGUAUGCCUUGGAGAAAGGAGCAAGGCUCUAUAGGUAAACAAAAAUCCCUGCGUGAUAGUGAGCUGACAUUCACACAUACUAAGAAUCCUUAUUUCAAGUUGCUGAAGGCUGUGUGAGCGUGCAUCUCAACAUAUCUUUGUCCAAUCUCAGCCAGUGCGUUGCAAAGCAAGCAGGCACUUGAGCAGGUCUGGAAUUUCCACCUGGGGAGGGAGACACUGCACACAGCCCAUCAGACAGCACGUCGGCCUCUGUCAAAACCAGGCAAAUGGGUUCAGGCUGAGCAGUGAUUUCGUGCUGGCUGCAGUCGCCAGUUACUCUGACCCCAUUCAUAAAACAGUAGUCAAAGCAAUAUGCUUUUUCAAGAGCUUGAAACAAAUUAGGUGCAUGGAUCUAAAAUAACGCAUGUCCAUGGUAGCUACAUGUUGCUUGCUUUGAGCGUAUGAUAUUUAGACCUUGGAAGACUCCAUCUGUGCAAACAUUAUAACUGAAAUAAUUUGAUGAGUGGUGGAAGAGAAAUCAGUUAUUUCAUUAAUUAUUUGGUUGCACAGAUGGACCUGUAAUCCCUGGCCAGAUGCAGUCAGACAUAUUUACACAAGCAGCAAAGUAGAUCUUUAGAUAUCCAGUUACAGGCCUCUGCAAUAAAGUUAUUAUUGCCAAGACCCCAUUUUGGAGACCUUUUUUCCUUUUUUCCUCCCUUCUUCUCCUCUUAUGUCUCAGCUUUUUCCUUCUCAGUUCAGUAACAGAAUCCCUUCAGCAGACACCCUGUGCAUCGCUUUGAUAAAAGCAUUUAGAAAGAUCAAAGAGAGAGAGCAACUCAGCUGGUGGCCUUUCCCUUCAGAGCGGUGGGUUCAGGCCAUGUCUAUACUACAGAUAUUGUUGGAUAGAGCAAUGUCAAGACAGUUUUGUUACGAAGUUUGGUCCCUGUUAGGCAGAUCUGUGCUAGAAGAAGCCCUGGGAGCAGAUGUGGGUUUUUUUAUGUGUCUGCUGCAUGUGCAGUGCAGCACAUCCACCUGCCUGCAGUGCCGUUGCCGACGCAAUCUCCAUGCAUGCUCAGAAGUUGUUGCCAAAGUAUCUGUGCUGCACAGGAGGCAAAGCAACUGGGCCGGGAAUUAAUAUAGGUCUAUUGGCAAAAACUGUGGAGGAACAAUGUGCUAAAAUACUGCUCUGGUGUUAGACUAUCUUUUGUUUUAGCAAUUAGUUCAGCCUAUACUGGCACGGAGGCUCAUGCUGAUGCAAGUUGUUUUGGUUUUUUGUUUUUUUUUCAGCUGGAAUGCGUUUAUGGUCUAUAGCUUAAUUGUAUCUCAUUUGAUGGAAGAACUGGAUGGAAAAGCAAGGCAUUAGUGUCUUCCAAUUAGUUGGGAUUUUAGACAAUAGAACAUUGAUUCCAUGCUAACUUUCAUGUUUAUUACUGACUUCACUGCUGUGAAAUCAGGUAAGUGCUCUUUAAGCACAGGGUUUGUUGGUUUUAAUAAGAGCACUUACCUUCAAUAGCAAGUGUCUAUGAGCACUAUUACCUAAUACCCACGUCUCUCCCAAUGAAUCUGGAGUUUAUUCCCUUCCUAACCAGCCCUGGACAUUUUGGCUUUUAUUUAUGAGGUUUUUUCUUAUGUUGACAGUGUUUGUAGAUUUUACAGAGCGUCCAGUAAAGGAUGUUUUUAUUAUGAACUCUUUUUGAAAGCAGGAAAAUGGAGGCUUUUCUGUUUCCCACUGUUGUGUUCUUAAAUCAGAAUAAGCAGAAAGUUGGACUUGUAAAUCAUACAAGUGGAUCUACGAUAACAAAGGAGUUGUAGUUCUCUGCUGUAAAGGAUAUACUCUGGCAAGAUGUACAGCAGGUAACUCUUAUAAUGUGAAAAAUGUAGACAACCGGAAUUAACUGCGACCCAAUGUAGCCUGGAACCAUAGCUGUAAUUUAUAAUAUGGUCAAGAAUGCAUUGCAGGCUCCUCAAUCGAUUAGCUAACGAGAAAAAGCUCUGCAAUUAAUUACAAAUCAACUGGAUCAAUAUCCUGUAAGUGAAAGAUAUGAAAUUGCUAACGUUUGGAUGAAACAUUUUUUUUUUUGCCAAGUGUAUUUAUAAAACUUGUAUAAAAUAUGAUAUUUAUUUAAAAAAAAAAAAAGCUCCUUUGACUGUUCAAAGGCAGCACCAUGAAUGCUGAUUUCCUUUUGCUCUGAAUAGUCAACUGAACUGACUUUAUUUCACCAGGUUUUCAUUUGUGUGUAAAAGAACUGAAGGCAACUUAUACCUUUAAUUUGAGACCUUACAAUGAAGCAAAAAAGCUAUAAUAUGGGGCUCUCGCAGUGAUGCUACCCAUGAGUUAAUCAUCAAAACACCUGAAAUACUGAGAGUUUGUGACCAAAUGAUUCUCUCAGUAGAUGGCAGGACUUGAAAUUUUCUAAUCAGUGAUGCUGGCAGUCUAACAUCUUGUCACUUUUAUAGAAGGCAUCCCAAAAAGGGCAGCUGGGGAGUGGGGAGGCAAGCUAAUGCUUGUGUUUGAAAGUAGUUUGUCAUCUGCAUGGUUCUCCAACUUCAAACAACUCUCUGUGCUUUUAUAAAUUGCAAAAAUGGAAGUGCUACUUAUCUGGAAUCCUUUUCAUCUGGCAGUGAUGAUUUCUUUUCAUAUCCGUGUUAUAACACUUCUGUUUUUUAUUAAGAAGACAGAAGACAAUCAUUUCCAAGGAGGAAAUAAUAAUAUUAAACAUGUGAAUCUCUCAUUUUCUGUAAGAUAAUCUUGUUUUAUGAACUUCCUACAUAAUUUUACUUUUUUUUAUAUACACACAAUGAAAAUCUGAGGAUUUCAUUGUAAUUAUAUUCAACAGUAAUGAGAGUUUAACUGAACGGUAAGUCUUCUUGAACUGUAAAGCGUUCUGUGAUAUUUGGAUAAUUCCAACAAAAUUUUGCUGCCCUAACCAGGUUGUGUGAAGCUUGGUUGCAUUAAAAAUGUACCAGUCCUGAUCACUGUUGCAAAGAGGAGCAAUUUUUUUCAAUGCACAAACAAGGAAAGGAACCCUGCCCACACAGUGUUCCUGGUUUCACCAUGGAAAUUCAAACCAUAAUAGCCAUGGGAGUUUCUGAGAUAUGAAGAGCUUUCUGUGAACAGCGUCCCUUUGUUUUCUUCAUCUCUCAGGGAAGACUGAGUCUGUGCUUUUUAAGUCAGUGAAGGGAAAUAUUAAAAUCUGGAGAGAGAAUCUGGGAAGGGAUGGGGAAAGCAGUGAGCACCAACCUGCCAGAAGAGGGUCUUUUCUCUAUGAGAAGCAGAUGUCUGGAGCGACCUUUAGCAGGGGGUGCAGGAGUUAAGGGUGUUCGUGAACUUUGUAGACUUCUGUAUUUUGAUGCUCCAAUUCUUUGUUGCUGACUUAUUAUUAUUGUUUGCUCUGGUGAAAAGGCCUUGGUACCCAUUUUUAUUUUAAAAAUAGUAAUAAAUCAAAGUCUUUUCAUUUAUAUUAGAAUACUAGUGUUCAUCAAGCUGACUGUUUCAAAUAAAUGUUUCUUCUAGCACUUCAGUUGAUCGUUGACUUCAGGGUUAAAACACCAGAAUGGCUGAUAUGAAAAUAUUCUGAGCCUUGAGUUUUUUCUUACAUAUUGGGAAGGAUGCAUAAUGAAAAAUAUAGCAAUGUUACAAAGCAUUGCAUGGCUUUAGAAAGAAAAUGUGUAUGGCUAACAGCUUACAUCAUCUGAAAUGACAAUGAUGAGACUUAGAUUACUAUUAUCAGCUUUAAUUGCAGCUCUGUGCUUUUUUCUGUCUCAAUUCAGUGCAGUUCAGUUUCACACCUGAAGUCAAGCAUUUCAUGCAAAUGUUUGAGGAACAAUGACUUGUAUGACUUGUUUGGUUUCAUGCCUCUUUUGUAGUACAUGUAAGCCUUAAUGUUUAGAAUAUCUGCCUUUUUUUCCCCUUGUUUCCAGAUUGUCAUGGUUAAGGAAGAGUGACCCCGUUUACCCCUGACCCACUUGAGCAGCCUCAUGAGGACAGCAGUAAAGGAAGUUUUCCUGGAGUCUUGGCUGUCCUGUGGGUUUCAUUAGAUUUUCAUGAAGCCUCUUCAAUCUGGUCUGUGGUUUUCUUUUCAAGUAGCAUGUUGCUGAGCUAGGCUAGCUCUGAUGGUGCUGGGAGAGUUAAAUCACCACCAAACUUUCAAGGCUUUAGACGGGAAGCAUGGUUUGACUCCCCAUGAAUGAUGUACUUGGCACAAAAAUCCAGUUUGGUAACAGUUUGCUUGGAGCAAACAUGGAAUCUGUUUCCAGUCCUUUUUAUUCUUUUUUUUUCAGCCUCCACCAACAAAAUAUUUUUUGGUAGAGUAUAUAAUAAAAUGUAGAUAUUUUUGAUGUAUUAUAUAUUAUAGCCAUUAGUUUAAAGGUAGAAGAUAAGAGAACCCUAAUGAAGGUUCAUGAUUCCAUUGAAGAUAACCCCCUUUUUUUUUGCAGUGGUGAAUGUGUGAUGUUGGUUGCAAGUUAUCACAAUGCCAAGAAUUUCCUGGGUCAUUUAACUUCUUCAGUAUAUAUUAUAGGCAGCCAUGAAGUUAUCCUGCCAUUUAUUUUACCUCCACUAGGCAAUUCUGUGCCUCCAGAAUUUUAGUAUGUUUGUCUUGCUUGUUUCAUCUACCUAAAGACACAGCUCUGAUCUUAGUUGCUAUUUUUCACCUUCCGUGACAGUGAGAAACAUUAGUUGGCUUUUACUUGCCUCCUCUGAAAGACAAAUUUACUGUAUAUUGUAUAAUUUUAUUUGUAUAUUAUAUAAUAUACUGCAUAUUGUAUUUAUAAAUAAUAAUGUUUCCUGAACAAGCAAGAAAGUUGAUGAUGUUCUGUUUUAACACAGGUAAUUUUAACACAACACUGAAAGAUAUUAUUGUUAAUUAUUGAAUUAUUUUCUUAGGUUCUUGCCUGUGAAUCUUCUUUUACAGUCAUUACAUGAUGAGUCUAUGGGCAUUGAUUGCUCUGACAAGGUGAGGAUGUGGGAGAAGAAGACAGUCUCAGUAUCAUCACCUUCAUAAGGAGUUUGUAAGUAAUGCAGCACAGAUGAGUUGAGGGAGCUGGGAGAUGGAGAUAUCGCCUUGAAAUAUGGAGGCAGAGGUUAUUUCUUGUCAUACAGUAUGUACUGUUGCUUACUUCAAGAGUUGCUUAGCAGACUCUGCAAAGCCAGUAGUCCUAGAACGAUAUUUGAGAGUGAAUUGCAAUAGCAACAUAAGUAGUAACAGAAAAGGCUUUACCCUGAUUUUACAGGUUGUAUGCAUUUUAUUGUUUUCAGGACUGAGUCAUACUGUAAGGCCUUUUAAUAGCUGAAAGGAUGAAAAAAUAGAAAAACAGAGCAACCUCUUUGGUGUGAUUGUCUCCCAGUGUACAGACAUCUUUGCAUCUAAAUUUCAAAGGAAAUACAGCUUUUCUCUUAAAAGGAAUAAUAUUAAGAAAUAAUAUCUGUAGUUUAUAUGGCCCAUCUUCUGUUGCCCAUUCAUCAUUUCCAGCAAGGGAGAUGACUUUUAUGUUGGCAGAUGACAUUAAGCAACAAGUAACGCUCUGGACAGCAACCAGUCUCCCUCCAAUAAAAGGCAAAGGCAUGCGGUGGGAAGUGUGACAUGUGUGCUGCUGCUUAUAUCCUCUGGGCUUAGUUAAAUUUGGAACAAAUUAAUCUGAGAGCAAAAUCUGGCUUGGGAUGUAUUGACAUGGAUGGCACAUUCCUUAAUGCUCUAUUUAUAUGACAAUAGAAGAGAGUUAUGUCGCCUACGCAGAAGACCUAUACAGAAGAGGUUCUUCACCGUCACUACCAGAAGCACACACAAGAUCAUCCUGAUCCCACUCAGGUUAACUGUCUGGACAGCUGUGAGUCAAGCCUUCAAGCCACGCUGCUUUAUCUGAUUGGUCUCAGACUUGAUCUGGCACAUGAAAGGAAAUGUGAGGAAGUUUCAAGCAGGGAUCGUUUUGCAAGUCCAGAGCUGAGGGUGAGGUCAAGUUCACUCACAUUUUUGGAGUAUCACAUUGCAAACAUAAAGCACCGUGCAUACAGCAUGAGGGUUGGUGGAGCAGUGGUUUCAACUGCAGGAGAUCUGUGUUGCUGGAGUAUUUUUGUGUUGUUUACCAGCAUCAAUGAAAUAUACCACACUAAAGAAACAGCAGUUGCAUGUAUUUUUUAAAGGCGACCCUUCUAGGGAAUAGGCAUAUGGUGACUUUAUCUUCGUUUUGAUGUUUAACUCACACAGGUGUUGCAAGCAUCUCGUGGAGCUGCAGGGUAAUGUUAGCAUUUAGUUAAUGAGUAAGUUCUUAUUAUUCAUGUGGCAUUAAUUUAGCCCACGAUGUUACUCCUUUCCUCCUGCGGUGCGUUCAGAGUCGUGGAGAUUGCUGCAAGAAUUUAUGGGAUGGAAAAGCAGAUAUUUAACUAUGGGGCUUUUUAAAGCUGUGUGGAGUAAUAAAAUCAUUACUGUUGGAAAAGACUACCAAGAUCAUCUAGUCUGACCAUCAACCCAUCGCCACCAUGCCCUCUAACCAUGUUCCUCAGUCCUACUGACUCAACUGCCCUCCUUGCAAACAAGCUCUGUUCCAGACUCAGCCUUAGGUCGUCACUUCAUAAAAAUGGUCUCAUUUCUACUAGGGCCUCACUGAGAUUUCCCAGUCACUCAUUUUUCUGAAGAUGUUUAAGUCUUAAAUGCGUACUUUGUUAUUCUGAAAGGCUUUAUGGCUUUGUGUAAUAAGUUUUUCUUAAAGGAGAAUUGUUGGGUAAGCUGUACAUUUCAGCAAAACCACAAUUUAAAAUUUUGUUAUCUGUUGUAACAUGCAGUAAAUUCCAUGGUUAAUGGAAGAGCAUAUUGAGCAAAAUCCUGUGCCACUCCUGAGCUCAGUUGUACCAAGUGCUCUAAAGGCUGUCCGUGUGGAACAGGUCUGCAUGCUUGUCACUGUUGCGGUGUAAAUGUUGUAUUUCUCAACAUCUACUACGGAGAAGCAGGAGUUUAUUCUCUAAGAAUAGAAAAGCAGAACAGAUAUGAGCAGCUCCCAGGGGGUCGCUGGCCAUCAGCAUUUUCACACUUAGCAUAUUCAGAUAAGUGUGGGGACCUUGUGCGUGGUAGAUGCAAAAUGUUGUACAUACCCACUUUGUUUCCUGAAGUAUUUCUACGUUUACUUACAGCUACCUGAAAUGUUGGAAUAUAGAUGAUACAGCUGUAUGAUGAGGAAUCUUUGAAGUCUUCAGAUAUUCUCAGCUGAGCUUUUAAAAAAAAACAAUGCCCCCCCCCCAAAUAAAAAAAAAAAUAAAAAAUGAAGGCACUGAAAUGAAUCAUUCUUUCCUGAAAAUGCUAAUUAUAAAUCCCAGGAAAAUGUAAGAUUAUAAAUUGCAGAAUAUUUUAAUACCUUGCAUGCAAAUUAGUCAACCACUCUAAUCACGUAAAUAAGCACCGUCGAGACAUUAUGUGAAGGACCACAGUAAUGGGCACCUGUCUAAUCCUUUAGUGAUCUUUUUCAGAGUGGUAAUGACAGUGGUGCUAACUGUGAUGGAGGAGUGACGUGUUCCUAGACAAAACUUGGAAGGACAGGCUCUGAUCUGUUAGAGAUCGUCUAUAUUUUAAUUUUUGAAUGCAAAAUUCUCUAGGGCUUUGUUUGGUACGGAGGGGUGGGGGCUGUCUCACUUCUCACUUUAGAAUUUUAUAAUGAAAUAGGCACAGUCCUGGGAUGCUCUCAUCACUUGUAUGCUUAUCAGGGAGAGCUGUGCACAAGCUGGAACUAAACUAAACCCUCAAUGCAAAUCCCCACUGUGCCCUGAGAGGAGGAUAAUAAGAAAAGGAGAGCAUGACAUGGCCUUGUAUCUCCCUUGCCUUAACAAGAGCAGUAAGGAUUUGAUGGGGAAUAACAAUGCUCGCAUCUUUAGUUAUCCUAUGGAAAUCAAUGCAAAGUGUGCUCCCGCUCAGGGACAUAGCGGCUCAAGGGCUAAAUUAGUUGAGCAAUUCCUGCACAAUUUUACCUUGUCCUUUAGAAUUCUUUUCAUUUACUAACAGUCUCAAGGUACUCCUUGGUUUCUCUGUGCUGUUUUCACCAUUUUAUCAUGACACCAGGGAUCUAAACUUUGUGCACCACUUUCUUUCAUAAAGAGCUGAUCACUGUGUCCAGUCUGUUACAGGCUUGAUCGGAUAGAAAUGGAUGAGAUCAGAGAAGCUGGCAAUAUUGCUCCUAACCCUUCCUGGUGCUAUAUUGGGUACUUGAAAAUACCAAAGGUCUUAUUUAAAGGUCUGUUAAGUCAUUAUCUUCUUUCCAAGAGAAAAAGGGGCGGUCCCUUAUAAUACAUACCUCCUCCCUCUAAAAGUCUCAGUUUGAAAUCACUUUGUGCUACUCUUUGGUUUUUAUUCUUAUUUAACAUCUAGGAUAUGUUAUAUUUCACCAAAACACAUCCCUAGCUUUCAACUUUUUCUCAUUAUUUUAUGGGGCUUUUUGUGAAUAAAGUGAGGAGUGUCUGCCUUUAAGCAGACCUGUUUUUCCUUUCCAAGGCAGAGUCUUUCAUCAUUAACUUUCAAAUAGCAAAUCAAUCACACUAAACUGCUGUUCUUUUUAUCCUAAUUAUUUCUCCAUUUGCUGUAUUUCAUAUUCUGCAUAUACAUUAAUAUAAUUUUGAUCGUCUUUUUUUUUUAAAAAAAAAAAAACAUAUUAAUACUUAUUUAUAUCCCUUUCCUCUCGAGCUUCAUUAAGGCUGUAUUGGUGCUCACCUUUGUGAACAUUUGCCCUUGAAAUUUUUAACUCUCAUGACAAGCAUGCAGCUUUGCUGCUAUUGUUAGCCAUAAAUUAACUGCUUAUGCUCAGACUCAACUCCCCAUUCUCCUGGGGUACAAUCAAGAAUCCUUCUGCCAUGCACCAGAGGAGAAGAGAGAACCAAAUCUCAGCAUUUCAAUAUCUGCGCCUCAGUAUGAUGUUGUUGCUUGUGGUCAAGAGUAUUUUCUUACUCUGUCUUGGCUAAUGGCAAACUUCUGGAUGUUUCUGAAAGUGUAUGCCCCCUGAACAGUCUGUGGUAAAAUAUUCAGACUUUCCAUGACAGUGGUAUCACAAUCCUGACUCAUAGCUGUAGUAAAUUUUUGUGGGUGUUACUACCUUCUUAGUUCUUUGUAGCAGAUCAUAUGUUUAAUCUAUGAAAUCAGACUCUCUUCUGUUGUCGUGGCUGGGAAUAUGCAUGAAAAGAAUAGCUGUCCAGUAAUAGAAUCCAUUUCAGUGAUACCAUACUUGUGACUUCACUAAUUUGGAGAUGUGAUGACUGGGUGGCUCCAAGAAGAGUCUGGCAAGCUACAGGUUCUUAUUCUGGCCCUUGGGUAAAGUGUCAUGCCUACUGUAAGCAUGUGGUCUGGGCCCUAUGAAAGACAAUAUUGUGUUUGUGUGUAAAUGUACAUUUCUAGCUUAUUCAGUCAGCUGCUUGGAUUUGAAAAGCAAAGACAAAAAAAAAAAAAGCAAAAAACAAAAGGAAAAAAGAAUAGGAAAAAACAUUUGCAGAGAAUAAAUAGUCUCUGGCACUGGUCGAGAAAGUCCCAGUAGAAACUUGGGUCAACUGUUAAGGAGAAAAACGUGAAGACGGGAGCUAAAAUAAAUUCUGACAAGAUGCCCCUGUAAAUCAAACUUGUAUUUUUGGAAUUCUGUACAGGCUGUGGAUUUGUACUUGGCAUUGCAUUUACACACAUGUUCAUCUGCUGAAUAACGUAGGUUGUUUAGGUGUCUUGGCAAACCCCAUUUGUACAGUACGUACAGAAGCUUUGCCUCACAGUAAAACUGUAACUUAGCAUUUUUGUUUCUUUCCUCUCGAGGUGAUACGGAUUUCUUGUGUUCUGACAUUUGUGGCAAUGCUGUAUGCUUUUCUAAAGUUUUAGAAGAUUAAUAUGAGCAUCUUUUCACAGGACCAGAAGAGAUAUCUGUCUUGGUAGCAAUUCCUUUGGAAGAUGAUCUAAAAGAUUCAGAAUAAGAUUUAAAAAUCCUUGUCUAAGGGAAGAGGGUACAGCAGAAUCAAGUAAUCCUAGAGGAUUUUAUUUCUGUUCCAAAAGGCACACAAGACUCUAUUACACUGGAAAACAGCAUAUUAAUAAGUUCUUAUAGGGUCAGUUUUUAUAGGCAAUGCUCUGUAUAGGUUGGUAGAGUCUCUUCAUAGGCAUAGAUUGCAUCAAGAGACUGCUAAAACCCAAAUAUUUUGAUCCCUGGUUUUAAAUUUUCUGUCCUAUCUACUGAAUUAAUUCCUUUGUUAAAGCUUUUCUCUAACGUGCACAGUAUGCCUAUCCCUUUCUGUUCCUCUCUUGCAUGUAGCAUAAGAAAUAAAGCUUUUUAUGAUUUUUUAAUAGAACAUAAUACUUUUUUUUUUAAGUAAAGAUAAACUCUUCCUAGAGGUCUCAUAUUUUGACAGGCAGUGUUUAGAAAAACAAAGACCGAUGGACACCUGUACUUAAAAUUCCGUGUUAUAGUAGUGCAAUUUGGUUUACUCUCAGGUGGUUUGGAACAUCACCUUGCAAAGCAUUAGCCCUUUUUUUCCCCCCACUUCUAGCUUACAAAGGAAUAGAUACUAGGUAAUGUAAAACUUAAUGCAUGAUUUUUUUUGCUCACUAUAUCUUUUAAACAUAUAUAUUAUAUGUUUAAUUCACCUAUUGCAAACUAACACUAAGAAAUCCUAUUUCAAUCUAAAUUCAGUCUUGUACAGAUUGAAAUAGAUUUAAUAAAAAAAUUCUUCAUGUGUUUUAGUGUUUAAAAAUAAACUUCUCUUAAAAAUUUCUGCUAGAAAAAGUUCUUAGGAUGCACCUUUCCUACCAAAUACACACAAUUUUUUAUAUAUAUGCUAUGGCGAAUGCCAAGGUGUGAUACAGUGAUCCUACACUGUAGGAUGGCUGUUAUAUCUGGAAGGAGGAUUGCUAUACAUACAUCUAGUUCCCUACUUUUGCAAAUAGUGUUUCCUAACAUUGGUGUUCUCCCUGAUUCUUCCAUUUUAAACUCCAAGGUGUAAAUGUCUUCUUAAGCUUCUCUUGAAGAACUUUCUCUUCCCAGAGGGUUUUCUGGCCUUGUUUUUCCCUGAGUCAUGAAAACAUGAAGUUACGUGCACCUAUGGGGCAGGUUUGGAUGAAUGUGGACUUUCAGGUGUAUUUGUAUGCAACGCCAGACUGAACAGGGCUCUGAGCAGCUUGAUCUGGCUGUAGAUGUCCCCAUUCAUUGUAGGGGAGCUGGGCUAGAUGGCCUUUAAUGGGCCCUUCCAACUCAAGUAAUGCUAUGAUUCUAUUAUUCUGUGUUUCAUAUUCUGUGGUAUAGAAUGAACAUAACAUGUGGAGAGGUGUUAAAGACAAUGCUGAGCUGCUGCCUCUGAGCCAGUUGCAGCUGAUAGUAUUCUGCCUGUGGCCUUAUGUAGGACUGACUUCUGUGUGGGGUGAGAAUGAAUCUCGAGGCUGAUUGUUGGUGACAACAUAAAUGAAUGUCAGGAAACUUAACUCAUUAUAUUGUCUUCUAGGUCUUUGUGUCAUCUCUACUGUCAGAAUAACAAGAGACUGCUUCUUAACAGGCUUCAGGUUUGGGUUUUUUUUUUUUCCCUUUUUGUCUUGGCUUAUUCUGAGUGUAUCUUAAACCCGAGUGCCCUCUUCUGAUCUUUAAGUAGGUGUCAACUCUCAGCACACCUGUCCCUGUGGCUGCAGCUCAGCAGCCAAUUGUUUGAAGUUAGACAAGCAUCUGGGGACAGAGAUAUUUUAAUUUGUAAUCAGCUUUAAAGCUUUAAAGCCUUCAACACUUGCUCUGAUCAGAAACAGGAGCUUAGGCAGAAAUUUGUCUUUCCUACUUAUUAAAAACAUUUUCCUCCCCUGGCAGGAACCGUAGGCUUGAUCUGAGUCCACUGAAGUAAAGAUAAACCCUUAUCAGCUCUGGCCCAGCCCUUUACACAGUGAGUUCCCUGGCCAACAGAGCCACUUGGGCUGGAGAAAGCAUAGCAUUACAAGAUUUUCAAGGGACAAAUACUAAUUAAGGAUAAUCUUGUAGAAAAUACUACCUUUUUGGUAGUGGGCAUAUUUAUCUUGGGAUACACUGGCAAGCUAUAAUUCUAAAAUUACCAACCUUGGGGGAGGCUCUCCAAUGCUACUAAACAAAAGUCAAUUUGUGUACAUACAUCUAGACAGAUGUACAUUAUGUAUAUUAGAUAGCUACGUAUGAGUAAAGUUCAUUGAUUAUUAAUAGGCUG
This 19794-nucleotide long non-coding RNA is filed under the name Gallus gallus (chicken). The record is from RNAcentral. Lineage: Eukaryota; Metazoa; Chordata; Aves; Galliformes; Phasianidae.